This 2110-nucleotide long non-coding RNA is filed under the name Cricetulus griseus (Chinese hamster). Its description in RNAcentral is "lncRNA (ENSCGRG00015031319.1)". The record is from RNAcentral. Lineage: Eukaryota; Metazoa; Chordata; Mammalia; Rodentia; Cricetidae.
CCUCCAGCGGCACGAUGUGAUCCACCAGCAAGGAGGGACGGCAAUAAGGCGUCCGAUAAGUCUAGACAUAUUGUUUGAUAUGAGUCAAAGGCUUGUAUUAUAGGACCUUGUCCACCUGAGCCUGAGUAGUGACAUGAGAAGGGGAAGUUGACAUGUGGUGUAUGGAGGAAGGAAAUAUCUGUCUGGAACAGUUCAGAACAAAGCACUGAUCCACGUCCAAAGCCCUGGGAGGAUGAGUGAUGAGAACAUAAACUCAGUUCAAGAUCGCUUCUACUUAAGUUCAUCCAUGAACAGUCAGAAGUAACCACAGUGGCCAAAUUCUGGCCUCUUAUUCGCCAGAGUCAUAGAGAGCUCAGGACUCAUUACAUCAGGGUGUCGAAAAUAUAACUUUACAACAACCUUAUGAAACUGGAAGGAAGUAACUGGGGCUCAGAGACACAGAGAUCAUACCUCUGAAGAGUUGAUGGAGCCAAUUAGAUGCCGAAAACAAACUUUAAACUUAAUUCCUGUGUGGAUUGAAGAUGCAACACCCACUGUAGUCUCAUGUGUUUGGACACUUGAUCUCCAACUGUUCGUGCUGCUAGGAAAAGUUUUGGAACCUUGGGAAGGCAGUGCUUCACUGGGGGUGCUGGGUCAUUGUAGGAAGGCCUUGAGGGCUUCUAGCUCUGCCCUACUUCCAGUUAACCCUAUGCUCCCUGGCAGCAGAUAAAAUGUGAUCAGCCAGGCUUCUAGUUCCUGCCCUCAUGCUCUCCCCACCGUGAUGAACUGAAGCUGUAAACCAAAAUCAACCCUUCCUUUCUUUAAUGGUUUUUGUUACACAAACAAGUAGCUAAUGCAGUCUCCUAAUUCCAAUUCUAGGUUAAGAUAUUCUGUGAAUCCAUCAUGAUAAUUUUAGUUCUGUUGUCUUCUCUAAUGCAGCCAUCAGGGACCAGUUUUAAAACAUUUAAAUGUUGAAGCCAGAAGAGAUUUGAAUCCCAUCAAUCCAUCCUCAUCCUACUACAAAGAAGAAAAACGAAGCCUUAUCUCAGAACCAACUGGCACAAGGCUACAAACCUUGCUAAACUUCAAGAUUGUUGAUUAUUGUUUCCCAAAUCAGUGCACAGAAAAAGAUAGCCAGGAGGUACAGCAAUUGUUAGGGAAAACCAUGGUUGAUGUGUGAAACAGAAAGUGACUCUGAAAAUGGGUUAUCCAGGCACUGUUGCUAAGAAACUCACGCUGUGUCUGUGUAUCCAUCAUGGAAAGGGAGGCUUCAGUGAUUCAUUGACUUCAGCCCAGUUAGCUAUAGUGUACAAGAACAUAGACUCUGAAACUUUUACAGAUCUACUUCCUUUGACAAGGUUUUAAACACCUCAUGGCUCUUUAUUUACAAAGAUGAAGAUUGGGCCUACUGCUGCCUCUUGCUUUCUGCUUCUUGGAGAAUGUUUGAGGAUCCAGUUUCUUCCUACAGAAAACCAUCUGCACUCCUGUAGAUAAACGGGAUCUCUAUGGGCCCACAUGCAAAUUUGCAAAGAUCUCAUGAAAGCAGAGAUGGGUCAAAAAUCUGAUAAGAGGAAUUUAUAGAAAUAUACAUUCACAAUAAACUAGGAUCUCUGUUUUCUGAAGGCUUUUGAAAAAUCACCCUCCAUAAAUGAAGUCAAUUUGUAUGGCUUUUUAAAUUAAGAAUUUGUCUACUUUGGAAAUCACACUUUUACAAAUAACAGGUAUUUGUAAAAUUGGGCAGGACCAGACUUGGAGCCUGGAGAGCAGGGUCCACUAUCACCCUCAUUUCCUAUCUGCAUGACUUUCAAAAGUUAGGCCAUGAAUGACCUUUCAAAGACUUGGUGUGCUUAUUGCAAAAUGGAGAUAAUAACAUUAACACCCAGAGUUUAAACUUCGAGAAGAACUAGCUCAGCCAUGAAACACAUUUGUUUCAUGACUUGAUUCCAACCUGUGUCUGAAAUUGGAGGAAUAAAUUUUGGGCAGGUCAGAUAGUAAGAAAAUGACCACAUUUCUGGGAAUCCUUUAAACUCUAGUAAUUAUAUAUGAUUACUUUGUAUGCAAAGCCUUAUACAUACAUAUGUAUAUGUAUAUAUAUGCACACAUAUUUUCCAUAUAUGCAUACAUAUUAUCU